UGGGGAAUCUUGGACAAUGGGCGCAAGCCUGAUCCAGCCAUGCCGCGUGAGCGAUGAAGGCCUUAGGGUUGUAAAGCUCUUUCAACGGUGAAGAUGAUGACGGUAGCCGUAGAAGAAGCCCCGGCUAACUUCGUGCCAGCAGCCGCGGUAAUACGAAGGGGGCAAGCGUUGUUCGGAAUUACUGGGCGUAAAGGGGCGUGUAGGCGGGUCUAAUCAGUCAGAGGUGAAAGCCCUGGGCUCAACCCAGGAAUUGCCUUUGAUACUGUUAGACUAGAGUUCGGGAGAGGGUAGUGGAAUUCCCAGUGUAGAGGUGAAAUUCGUAGAUAUUGGGAAGAACACCAGUGGCGAAGGCGGCUACCUGGACCGAUACUGACGCUGAGGCGCG
RNAcentral lists this ribosomal RNA (385 nucleotides) under uncultured bacterium. RNAcentral's name for it is "bacterial SSU rRNA". It matches the Rfam family "Bacterial small subunit ribosomal RNA", at positions 355 to 755 of the family's 1533-position model. The record is from RNAcentral.